This is a long non-coding RNA of Bradysia coprophila, 81 nucleotides long. Lineage: Eukaryota; Metazoa; Arthropoda; Insecta; Diptera; Sciaridae. The record is from RefSeq and is a predicted model, not a curated record.
AAUUGAAUUCCAUAUUGAAAUCACGGCAGAGGAAAAUAAACCAGGCCAGGAGCGGUUUAUUUUUGAAACGUCAAAUAAGGG